CGUGAGGAACCUGCCUUUCANAGGGGGACAACAGUUGGAAACGACUGCUAAUACCGCAUAAUAUAUGUUUGUCGCAUGGCAGAUAUAUCAAAGAUUUAUCGCUGAGAGAUGGCCUCGCGUCUGAUUAGCUAGUUGGUAGGGUAAUGGCCUACCAAGGCGACGAUCAGUAGCCGGACUGAGAGGUUGGCCGGCCACAUUGGGACUGAGAUACGGCCCAGACUCCUACGGAAGGCAGCAG
RNAcentral lists this ribosomal RNA (238 nucleotides) under uncultured bacterium. RNAcentral's name for it is "partial 16S ribosomal RNA". It matches the Rfam family "Bacterial small subunit ribosomal RNA", at positions 116 to 354 of the family's 1533-position model. The record is from RNAcentral.